GGGGGUGUAGCUCAGAUGGUGAUGCGCUCGCUUCGCAUGUGAGAGGUACGGGGAUCGAUGCCCUGCAUCUCCA
Gossypium raimondii (Peruvian cotton) is the source of this 73-nucleotide non-coding RNA. NCBI's taxonomy places the organism in Eukaryota, Viridiplantae, Streptophyta, Magnoliopsida, Malvales, Malvaceae. The record is from Rfam.